CAGGAGGAGCUCUGUGAGGCUGAGUGGCUUGAGGGUGUCUCAUCUGAGAAAUAAUCACCGAUGUGUGAAGGAAUGCGAAGAAGGCGUGGACAAGGAGGAGACUGUACACCUUGAAUUCAAUGACCGAAGAGACACACAAGUGGUAAAUGUCACCUGAUCUCAUAAACUGCUCUUAUUAAGACAGAGAAAAAUUGCUGCAAACUGGAUGUAUCCAGGCCUGACCAAGGAGGAGUUGACUCUUCAGAAGCUACAGUGUCCCCAGAGAUGCACAGAGGACCCCCAUGCCUGUGACUGUCACCCACACUCUGACUUUUUACCUGUUCCUGAAUCUGCCAAUGGAUCAAAUGUUGGCCCGGCUGUCACACUGGUGUUUCGCUGAUGCUGACCCAAGAUUAGAAUUACAGCGAGCCAAAUACAGAGAUGAACAUCCCCCUCACCUGAAGACACCUGCCCUGACUAUCAGGUAUCCCAGUAGCAAGCCACCCACCUGCAAACUGUCUUCACUUCCUAGAGAAGCUGGAGGCAAAAACACCCACUGAGACCAUGCUGCCUCGAUCUGGAGGUCUCUCCCUACUGCAGUAGCCUGAAAAAAAAUCAACUCUUCACUUGUUUAGUCUUUGUCUUUGACAAUAGCUUUGCCUGUCUAUCAUCUGUUUGCUUUCUCAUAUUUGUCUUUUUAUCACCUCUCACUAUUUACUCUUUAUUUAUCCAU
Fukomys damarensis (Damara mole-rat) is the source of this 712-nucleotide long non-coding RNA. RefSeq lists it as uncharacterized. The record is from RefSeq and is a predicted model, not a curated record. The transcript is spliced from 3 exons. Lineage: Eukaryota; Metazoa; Chordata; Mammalia; Rodentia; Bathyergidae.